RNAcentral lists this ribosomal RNA (996 nucleotides) under Kocuria flava. RNAcentral's name for it is "bacterial SSU rRNA". It matches the Rfam family "Bacterial small subunit ribosomal RNA", at positions 58 to 1063 of the family's 1533-position model. The record is from RNAcentral. Lineage: Bacteria; Bacillati; Actinomycetota; Actinomycetes; Micrococcales; Micrococcaceae.
CAAGUCGAACGCUGAAGCUCCAGCUUGCUGGGGUGGAUGAGUGGCGAACGGGUGAGUAAUACGUGAGUAACCUGCCCUUGACUCUGGGAUAAGCCUGGGAAACCGGGUCUAAUACUGGAUACGACGUCCUACCGCAUGGUGGGGGGUGGAAAGGGUUUUAUUGGUUUUGGAUGGGCUCACGGCCUAUCAGCUUGUUGGUGGGGUAAUGGCCUACCAAGGCGACGACGGGUAGCCGGCCUGAGAGGGUGACCGGCCACACUGGGACUGAGACACGGCCCAGACUCCUACGGGAGGCAGCAGUGGGGAAUAUUGCACAAUGGGCGCAAGCCUGAUGCAGCGACGCCGCGUGAGGGAUGACGGCCUUCGGGUUGUAAACCUCUUUCAGCAGGGAAGAAGCCACAAGUGACGGUACCUGCAGAAGAAGCGCCGGCUAACUACGUGGAGUCAGCCGCGGUAAUACGUAGGGCGCAAGCGUUGUCCGGAAUUAUUGGGCGUAAAGAGCUCGUAGGCGGUUUGGCGUCUGCUGUGAAAGCCCGGGGCUCAACCCCGGGUCUGCAGUGGGUACGGGCAGACUAGAGUGCAGUAGGGGAGACUGGAAUUCCUGGUGUAGCGGUGAAAUGCGCAGAUAUCAGGAGGAACACCGAUGGCGAAGGCAGGUCUCUGGGCUGUUACUGACGCUGAGGAGCGAAAGCAUGGGGAGCGAACAGGAUUAGAUACCCUGGUAGUCCAUGCCGUAAACGUUGGGCACUAGGUGUGGGGGACAUUCCACGUUCUCCGCGCCGUAGCUAACGCAUUAAGUGCCCCGCCUGGGGAGUACGGCCGCAAGGCUAAAACUCAAAGGAAUUGACGGGGGCCCGCACAAGCGGCGGAGCAUGCGGAUUAAUUCGAUGCAACGCGAAGAACCUUACCAAGGCUUGACAUCCUCCGGACCGCACUGGAGACAGUGCUUCCCUUCGGGGCUGGUGGACAGGUGGUGCAUGGUUGUCGUCAGCUCGU